This 425-nucleotide ribosomal RNA is filed under the name uncultured bacterium. RNAcentral describes it as "partial 16S ribosomal RNA". It matches the Rfam family "Bacterial small subunit ribosomal RNA", at positions 354 to 796 of the family's 1533-position model. The record is from RNAcentral.
GUGGGGAAUCUUGCGCAAUGGGCGAAAGCCUGACGCAGCCAUGCCGCGUGGAUGAUGAAGGUCUUAGGAUUGUAAAAUCCUUUCACCGGUGAAGAUAAUGACUGUAGCCGGAGAAGAAGCCCCGGCUAACUUCGUGCCAGCAGCCGCGGUAAUACGAAGGGGGCUAGCGUUGCCCGGAUUUACUGGGCGUAAAGGGCGCGUAGGCGGACAUUUAAGUCAGGGGUGAAAUCCCGGGGCUCAACCUCGGAACUGCCUUUGAUACUGGGUGUCUUGAGUAUGUGAGAGGUGUGUGGAACUCCGAGUGUAGAGGUGAAAUUCGUAGAUAUUCGGAAGAACACCAGUGGCGAAGGCGACACACUGGCUCAUUACUGACGCUGAGGCGCGAAAGCGUGGGGAGCAAACAGGAUUAGAUACCCGAGUAGUCC